Molecule: ribosomal RNA, 253 nt
Filed under: uncultured bacterium
Lineage: Bacteria
Description: partial 16S ribosomal RNA
Rfam family: Bacterial small subunit ribosomal RNA
Source: RNAcentral
GACGGAGGGUGCAAGCGUUGUUCGGAAUUACUGGGCGUAAAGGGCGCGUAGGCGGUCUGUUAAGUUCGGUGUGAAAUCCCCCGGCUCACCCGGGGAAGGGCGCCGGAUACUGGCAGACUCGAGUACCGGAGAGGAGGGUGGAAUUCCUGGUGUAGCGGUGAAAUGCGUAGAUAUCAGGAGGAACACCGGUGGCGAAGGCGGCCCUCUGGACGGAUACUGACGCUGAGGCGCGAAAGCGUGGGGAUCAAACAGG